AUUUAUUAUAUCAUAAACUGAAAUUUAUGAUAUACAAACAUUAAAAUAAAAUUAAUUAUGAAUUUUUUGUGUUGAAAGAAAAAUGUACCAUUUGUUUCAUGUUAAAGAAGUGACUUGCAUAUUCACGUUCCUGUUUAUACAACAUUCUCGAUGGUCCAGCACCAUUUUAGUGAGCCAGUCGUCCAGAGAUUUUCUUGUCUCGUUCAGAGACGAAAAAAAUUAACAAAUGAUCUUAAUCUUUCAAAUUUUGCUUGUCCAGCUAAACUGGUGUGGUUCACUUGUUAUCAAAUGAACCCUAAGAUGUGUUCGAAUAAUUUUUAGCUGAUCAGAAACAAAGCCGCAUGCGAAAACGGUCGAAAAAAGGUUCCGAUAAAAAAAAACGGUCCAAAUUACCCUUUUUUCUUGUAGUGGCAGCUCUCAAGUAUAGCUAACAAAUACAGAUAAGAUAAAAAAAAUUAACUACAGUUCUGAUGAGCCGCUGAUGCAGAAAUCUACAUGAUAUAUUUCUCAUGUCACGAGGAUAUAUAUAGGAAUUUUACUGUAAAAUAAAAUGAACGAGUGUAGUAUGGUAUUUACAUGCAGCUCUUGUAUGUGUUCCCAUGUUAGGGCAAAAUUAUCAUGAAUAUUGGGUCAACAUUUUUAUCUCUCUCUUUUAUUUGCUUGCUAUUUAAAUUCAUAUUUAGUUUUAAAAAAUAAAUAAAUUUUAUAAAAGUUUUAUAUUAACCCUAAUUGUUUAUAAAAAUUAAUUUGCAUAUAGUUGAAAAUAUGUGUAGUUUAGUAGGAUAUUGUGUUUAGCUCUUUUGCAAGGUAUUAAAAUCUUUGCAGAAAUUAUGAACUAAACAACCACCGAUGUUAUAAUUAUAUAAUAUUGAUUAUUCUAUAUGAAUAUUUUAAAUAUAAAAUUUAAAUUUAAUAUGACAGUUUUUUUUGUAGUUUUUUAUUGUUAGUUUGAUUUUUGGGAUCUUUUUAAAAAUACCCAUCUGUAAAAUUAUUUUUUUAAAAAUACUACAAUCUUUUUCAUUGUUUUUAA
Molecule: long non-coding RNA, 1030 nt
Filed under: Daucus carota (carrot)
Lineage: Eukaryota; Viridiplantae; Streptophyta; Magnoliopsida; Apiales; Apiaceae
Description: long non-coding RNA (DCAR_LNC005091)
Source: RNAcentral